Molecule: non-coding RNA, 144 nt
Organism: Gossypium raimondii (Peruvian cotton)
Lineage: Eukaryota; Viridiplantae; Streptophyta; Magnoliopsida; Malvales; Malvaceae
Source: Rfam
UGUUAAAAAUUUAAUCCCUUUGUAUUGUUAAAAAUUAGCUCAACUGAUAGAAUAACUAGACAAUAACACGUGGCAUAUGACGUGUACCUCAUAUUGACGUACAAGACUUAUUUUUAACAAUAAAAAUAAAAAUAAAAUUUAACA